Molecule: ribosomal RNA, 440 nt
Filed under: uncultured bacterium
Lineage: Bacteria
Description: partial 16S ribosomal RNA
Rfam family: Bacterial small subunit ribosomal RNA
Source: RNAcentral
CCUACGGGAGGCUGCAGUGGGGAAUAUUGCACAAUGGGGGAAACCCUGAUGCAGCGACGCCGCGUGAGUGAAGAAGUAUUUCGGUAUGUAAAGCUCUAUCAGCAGGGAAGAGAAUGACGGUACCUGAGUAAGAAGCCCCGGCUAACUACGUGCCAGCAGCCGCGGUAAUACGUAGGGGGCAAGCGUUAUCCGGAUUUACUGGGUGUAAAGGGAGCGUAGACGGCGAAGAAAGUCUGAAGUGAAAGCCCGCGGCUCAACCGCGGAACUGCUUUGGAAACUUUUUUGCUGGAGUACCGGAGAGGUAAGCGGAAUUCCCAGUGUAGGGGUGAAAUGCGUAGAUAUUAGGAGGAAACCCAGUGGCGAAGGCGGCUUACUGGACGGUAACUGACGUUGAGGCUCGAAAGCGUGGGGAGCAAACAGGAUUAGAUACCCGAGUAGUC